RNAcentral lists this ribosomal RNA (1508 nucleotides) under metagenome. RNAcentral's name for it is "bacterial SSU rRNA". It matches the Rfam family "Bacterial small subunit ribosomal RNA". The record is from RNAcentral.
AGAGUUUGAUCCUGGCUCAGGACGGACGCUGGCGGCGUGCCUAAUACAUGCAAGUCGAGCGGACAGAUGGGAGCUUGCUCCCUGAUGUUAGCGGCGGACGGGUGAGUAACACGUGGGUAACCUGCCUGUAAGACUGGGAUAACUCCGGGAAACCGGGGCUAAUACCGGAUGGUUGUUUGAACCGCAUCGUUCAAACAUAAAAGGUGGCUUCGGCUACCACUUACAGAUGGACCCGCGGCGCAUUAGCUAGUUGGUGAGGUAACGGCUCACCAAGGCAACGAUGCGUAGCCGACCUGAGAGGGUGAUCGGCCACACUGGGACUGAGACACGGCCCAGACUCCCACGGGAGGCAGCAGUAGGGAAUCUUCCGCAAUGGACGAAAGUCUGACGGAGCAAUGCCGCGUGAGUGAUGAAGGUUUUCGGAUCGUAAAGCUCUGUUGUUAGGGAAGAACAAGUACCGUUCGAAUAGGGCGGUACCUUGACGGUACCUAACCAGAAAGCCACGGCUAACUACGUGCCAGCAGCCGCGGUAAUACGUAGGUGGCAAGCGUUGUCCGGAAUUAUUGGGCGUAUAGGGCUCGCAGGCGGUUUCUUAAGUCUGAUGUGAAAGCCCCCGGCUCAACCGGGGAGGGUCAUUGGAAACUGGGGAACUUGAGUGCAGAAGAGGAGAGUGGAAUUCCACGUGUAGCGGUGAAAUGCGUAGAGAUGUGGAGGAACACCAGUGGCGAAGGCGACUCUCUGGUCUGUAACUGACGCUGAGGAGCGAAAGCGUGGGGAGCGAACAGGAUUAGAUACCCUGGUAGUCCACGCCGUAAACGAUGAGUGCUAAGUGUUAGGGGGUUUCCGCCCCUUAGUGCUGCAGCUAACGCAUUAAGCACUCCGCCUGGGGAGUACGGUCGCAAGACUGAAACUCAAAGGAAUUGACGGGGGCCCGCACAAGCGGUGGAGCAUGUGGUUUAAUUCGAAGCAACGCGAAGAACCUUACCAGGUCUUGACAUCCUCUGACAAUCCUAGAGAUAGGACGUCCCCUUCGGGGGCAGAGUGACAGGUGGUGCAUGGUUGUCGUCAGCUCGUGUCGUGAGAUGUUGGGUUAAGUCCCGCAACGAGCGCAACCCUUGAUCUUAGUUGCCAGCAUUCAGUUGGGCACUCUAAGGUGACUGCCGGUGACAAACCGGAGGAAGGUGGGGAUGACGUCAAAUCAUCAUGCCCCUUAUGACCUGGGCUACACACGUGCUACAAUGGACAGAACAAAGGGCAGCGAAACCGCGAGGUUAAGCCAAUCCCACAAAUCUGUUCUCAGUUCGGAUCGCAGUCUGCAACUCGACUGCGUGAAGCUGGAAUCGCUAGUAAUCGCGGAUCAGCAUGCCGCGGUGAAUACGUUCCCGGGCCUUGUACACACCGCCCGUCGCACCACGAGAGUUUGUAACACCCGAAGUCGGUGAGGUAACCUUUUAGGAGCCAGCCGCCGAAGGUGGGACAGAUGAUUGGGGUGAAGUCGAAACAAGGUA